Molecule: RNA transcript, 604 nt
Organism: Anneissia japonica
Lineage: Eukaryota; Metazoa; Echinodermata; Crinoidea; Comatulida; Comatulidae
Exons: 3
Source: RefSeq, a predicted model, not a curated record
CCUCUGUUUAUAUGCACAUAUGUCUUGUCUAACCUCAUUACUGUUUGUCUGGUUGUUGACGUCUUUCCAUCAAAAGUCGAAACAUUUAAAUUGGUCGGUUGUUCUUCUUUUCAUCAGUCAUUUGGCCAUAACAAAACUUCUUCACCUGUAUACCAAGGCCUAUGAUGUGCCUUCUUUAUCCAAGUGGCCUUUACCUACCAAGUACCUGUAUUACCACAUGAUGUGGAAGAUCUUUUGAAACAGCAGGACAAGUCGGUGUUGCCAAGGCAGUAUUAUCGUAAGAUUAUACAAAGUUUAUUUGAAGACAUGAUACAAUUUACUCUAUAUCCAACAACAGCUGAGUAUACUGGGGUAGCCAGAGCUAGUUACCAAAUUUAAGAUCUUAGAAGAUAAAUCUGGAAAUUCAACAGGACAUGUAAGCCAUGUUAAAAAUUUUACAUACUGAAAAGACAGAUUACAGCAAAAAAAAAAAAUUUGAGUCAAAUUCUGGGGUAGAUUAAGGGUGAUUUCAAGCAUGAUGUCAUCAAGGUAUUUAGACUUUGUGUAUCAGAACAUACAGUACAUUGUAAUAAUGAUUAAGUACCGUAGCUACUGCCAUUUAGUA